RNAcentral lists this ribosomal RNA (253 nucleotides) under uncultured bacterium. Its description in RNAcentral is "partial 16S ribosomal RNA". It matches the Rfam family "Bacterial small subunit ribosomal RNA", at positions 524 to 776 of the family's 1533-position model. The record is from RNAcentral.
UACAUGGGGUGCAAACGUUGCUCGGAAUUAUUGGGCGUAAAGCGCGCGUAGGCGGUUACUUAAGUCGGAUGUGAAAGCCCUCGGCUUAACUGAGGAAGUGCACCCGAAACUGAGAAGCUAGAGUACUAAAGAGGGUCGCGGAAUUCCCGGUGUAGAGGUGAAAUUCGUAGAAAUCGGGAGGAACACCGGUGGCGAAGGCGGCGACCUGGGUAGAGACUGACGCUGAGGCGCGAAAGCGUGGGGAGCAAACAGG